This 926-nucleotide transfer RNA is filed under the name uncultured cyanobacterium. Its description in RNAcentral is "partial contains 16S ribosomal RNA and 16S-23S ribosomal RNA intergenic spacer". The stretch from base 276 to 348 matches the Rfam family "tRNA". Lineage: Bacteria; Bacillati; Cyanobacteriota. The record is from RNAcentral.
UGGAUCACCUCCUAACAGGGAGACAACAACUGAUUUUGAUGUCUGAGUAAUUUAUUCUCAGGCCGAAAUCCUGUCAUCUCGAAGGUCGAUCGGUACCUCAACUUGAGGGUCUAGAGAAUUUAUUCUGCUAGGCCAACUCAAUUUCAGUUCCUAAACUUUGUCUAGGUCACCCACUAAGGGUAAAUAACUCCUGGGCCAUUAGCUCAGGUGGUUAGAGCGCACCCCUGAUAAGGGUGAGGUCCCUGGUUCAAGUCCAGGAUGGCCCAUUCGUGUUUGGGGGUUUAGCUCAGUUGGUAGAGCGCCUGCUUUGCAAGCAGGAUGUCAGCGGUUCGAGUCCGCUAACCUCCAUCCAACAGGAAGCCCCUUAGUUCGAAUUCUGAAAGGAGUUCCUGGUGAGGUGACAGAGAUGAAUUCGGAACUGGCAUUGAGAAAUGGCCAGAAAGCAACGCUGAGUCACGUGACUCCAGCCUCGUUUCAUUCCAGAGUUGAUGAUCUAACAAGAGAUCAACCGGUUGAAACGAUGCUGGACUCAAGGCUUUUAACCAAAGCCUUAAGUUUCAGCAGAACCUUGACAACUGCAUAGGUAAGUCUGGAAAUAAAGCAUCUCAUGGAUGCCCAGAUGCAAAAGAGAUCAAGUGAGGGUGAAUAGCCUGAGCUUGAAAUUUUAGUGUUUGGGAAAAUUCUAUUGAGUUUUUAGAGCCGAGAAAUCCAAUGGUUCUUUUCAGCCAUCCAAGUUAACUGCGUGGAAGGCUAGAAGAGUUUGAUCCUGAUAUUCAAGUCUGAUUGAGCUGACCUGAAAGGGUGAGCUUGAGAAGAUACUGAAUCCAGAGAGAAUGGGCCUCAACAGCCUGAAGCCAUUGGAGGAUAAUUUGGUCAAGCUACAAAGGGCUCACGGUGGAUACCUUGGCACACAGAGGCGAUGAAGG